RNAcentral lists this ribosomal RNA (465 nucleotides) under uncultured bacterium. RNAcentral describes it as "bacterial SSU rRNA". It matches the Rfam family "Bacterial small subunit ribosomal RNA", at positions 28 to 513 of the family's 1533-position model. The record is from RNAcentral.
GACAAACGCUGGCGGCGUGCCUUACGCAUGCAAGUCGAGCGACGUCCUUCCCUUCGGGGAAGGAACGGAGCGGCGGACGGGUGAGUAACACGUAAGUGAUCUGCCCAAAAGCGGGGGAUAACCCACCGAAAGGUGAGCUAAUACCGCAUGUGUCCGGUGGUUCGAUUCACCGGGUAAACCUUUAGGGCUUUUGGAGGAGCUUGCGGCCGAUUAGCUAGUUGGUGAGGUAAAGGCUCACCAAGGCUGUUAUCGGAGCUGGUCUGAGAGGACGAUCAGCCACACGGGGACUGAGACACGGCCCCGACUCCUACGGGAGGCAGCAGCGAGGAAUCUUGCACAAUGGGCGAAAGCCUGAUGCAGCGACGCCGCGUGGGGAUGAAGGCUCUAGGGUCGUAAACCCCUUUUGCCAGGGAAGAAGAUCUGACGGUACCUGGCGAAUAAGCCACGGCUAACUACGUGCCAGCA